UACAGAGGGUGCAAGCGUUAAUCGGAAUUAUUGGGCGUAAAGAGCACGUAGGCGGAUUAGAAAGUUGGGUGUGAAAGCCCUGGGCUCAACCUGGGAACUGCAUUCAAAACUACUAGUCUAGAGUAUAGAAGAGGAAAGCGGAAUUUCCGGUGUAGCAGUGAAAUGCGUAGAUAUCGGAAGGAACAUCAGUGGCGAAGGCGGCUUUCUGGCCUAAUACUGACGCUGAGGUGCGAAAGCGUGGGGAGCAAACAGG
This 253-nucleotide ribosomal RNA is filed under the name uncultured bacterium. Its description in RNAcentral is "partial 16S ribosomal RNA". It matches the Rfam family "Bacterial small subunit ribosomal RNA", at positions 524 to 776 of the family's 1533-position model. The record is from RNAcentral.